RNAcentral lists this long non-coding RNA (3179 nucleotides) under Cyanoderma ruficeps (rufous-capped babbler). RNAcentral describes it as "lncRNA (ENSCRFG00000012674.1)". The record is from RNAcentral. Lineage: Eukaryota; Metazoa; Chordata; Aves; Passeriformes; Timaliidae.
CAUGUUUUAGGCCUGGUUCACGUGUUACAUCUUCCUCUGUCUCACCUAGACAGUGCAAGGCAGUUUAGUUGAUGGAUACAGUUUUUAAUAAUUAAGGGCCUUGGCAGCAGAAUGUAUCUAUCUGUUCUGCAUGACCUUGUGUUACAGUUGGCCUGAGUUUGUUUUACAAGCUUUUUAAAAGUUUUUCACAUGAUGCAGUGGGAGUUCACAGAGGAGGGGAAGUUUGUUCACAUCCCUAGGGGCUGUACUUGAAAGGGCCCAAGAGUCUUCUUCCUGAUCUGUGCUAAGGAGAAAUUGUUUAAUACUAAACAAUUGGAUAAACAAAAUGUAUAGGAAGACAAGUGAACGAAAGAGUGAGAUCUGAGAGUAUAGGACAAUACUAGCUGUGUUUUUGGAGAAGGCGGUCUUUACUAAACGAGACCGGGACUGCAAAGGAGCGUGCCCGUGGUCACACGAUGCCGGGAAGAGGCUGCUGCAUGAGAGUAGUGAGGGUGGAACAGGGAGAAUGUGAGGGGACGGAAUACGCUGCCGGGUUCCUGGAAGUGAAUGCAAUGCGAGGAACUGAGAAACGCCGCCUAGUUGAGCAGGAGAGGAGCCAGACGGGGCCUGGCGCUGCUGCCCGGAACGGGGCCCGGAGAGGAGGCGGCUCGCAGCCGCGAGUGGGCGAAGCGGCAGCGGCCCUCUAACGGAGGCGCCGCGGGCCCCUGGAGACGGGCCCGCCUCCCGGCACGGGCCCGCCCGUCGCAGCUCUCCAGAGAGACGCGGCCUACAGCCGUGAGCGGAGGGAUGUGCACGGUCGUGCCGUCAGGAGGCGAGUCGUGACUGGGCUUCUUCGUCAGAAGGCAGUGCGGUCGCACAGCAUCCCGCUGUGCUGCAGGUCUAACCAACACCUGUCUCUGGCAGCUGAGCGAGAAUGGAUUCUGAAACAGAGUAAAAUGCAAACAGAACUGAACUGGCAGCCACUCUGUGAGAAUGCUGGAUGUAAUUGGUAUCAGAAAUCAGAGGAUCUAGCACACAGCCUGUCUUCAUCAAGAGAGGAGAUAUUUCAGUAUGAUGAUGAAAGUUCUCUGUGUAAAGAUAUGCCUGCUUUGGAAAUAAAAAAGCUGCAGGAACAGAAUGCCAGCCUUCGGGCUGCUAUUGCACAAAUGAGGAAGGAAAUGGAGAGUCUUGAUGAACAGAUGUUGUCCUCUCUUACUCUAACAGAAGACAGACAGCUUGCACAGCAAGGUUCAUUGAGCACCAACAAAAUUUCAACUGAAACCACACUGAGCAACAUCAAAGUCAGUUCAACUAAGUUGGAUUGUGUAGUAAAUCCAAACACAGAAGAGGGGCCAGUACCCAAAGUUCUUGAAGAAAACAUGGUAGAUUUUGGACAACUGCUACCUGAUGUAGGUACCGGUGUUGGUUGUCAGUAUAGUGCCAAACACACCCUACAAGGAAUGCAAAAUAAACUCAAGGAAGCAGCAAGAAAAAUCUCAAUUCUGAGCCAAGAAAAGCGGCAGCUGAUUGAAAUGGGAAACAGACUCAGGGCAGAACUUGGAAUGGUGUUAAAGGAAGGACUCUGGCAUCCUGUUAGAUCUAAGCACUGCACAGUUUGUAUUGCCUCUGGUAGUCUUCUUCCAAGAGAACUUGUCAAAAGAACACAGUGUCAGCUAUCCGUUCUAAAGCAUCUACAGCACAGACUCUCAACACAGGAGCUGCAGUGUGCAAGGCAACAGCAUCUUUCAAGGUUCUCUUCUCCUACUGCCUGCCCUAGCUUAAAGGAAGCUCCAAGCAGCUGUGGGGAAGAAAAAGAAUUACCAUCUGCUGAGAUUCACCCAAGGUUCGGCAAUUUCUUUUUUGAAAAUGAUGAGCCAGAUACAUUCUCAGCAACAAAGGCAGAUACAUCCACAAAAACUGUUCAAACUCAGCUGCUCAGUCAGAGUCCUAGUCAAGUCCUGCAGGUCCAACUUUCUUCGUCUCGAGCGCAUAAUUUCUGUCAAAUUUUAGACACGGGAUCAAGCCUUUCUCUACUCAGUCCUCGAAAGAACAGCAGCCAGGUGGAGUUUGAAGUUGUACAUUCAAUGGAGCAAUCUGAAGAAUCUCAGCAAAAUGUGAAAGCCAAGGAUAAACUUGAAACGUCAUCUGAAGAUUUGACAGUCAGAGGAACAAGGCUGGAAGUUCAGCAGAAGUUAAAAUCUAGAAAUUUAUCUUGUGCUCAUCAAUUAAAACCAAAAAUCUCUUCUAGCAUGGCAAAAAUCCGCAAUUAUAAUAUUAAAGACUGACUUCUAUGUUGACAGCAUGUUGUAGUUUUGCACUUGCUAUUAACUCACUUCGAGAUCUCUAUAUCAGGUCUAAUUAUCAGCCUCAGUUUUGUAUGUUAGGUUGAGAUAUCUGCAGCCAGAAGAGAGAACAAAUACCCUGCUUCGUACACUGAAGCCUAAAAUAAAGGGUUAAUUUGUGUACAUUAUGAGAUUACAGACUUCACUGUUAAUACUGAUUUAUUUUAAUUAUAUAUGUUAAGAUUUUCUUGCAUCAUGGAUUUAGAAAUGCCCAGUUAACACACAGGUAAAGCCUUGUGCCUUCAGGCAGGGCUUGCAGGACUUUAGCAGGUAUUUUGUUGAGAAACUGUAGAUGUGAUUUAAGCUUAGAAGUGAGAUGCCUCAACCUACUUGUCUUCUUCUAAUUAACAAUGCAACCGUUAAUCCUGUGCAGCUAUCUUUCUACUUAAGAAAGAAAGGGGUUUAAAAGCAUUACAUCUGAGUCUGUAUUAUUUCUCAUCUUCUGUAGCUCUUUCCACUUGUUCAGAGAACAUGAAAGAGUAAAAAAUUAAAUUUGUACUGUUACACUAGAUUGUAUUUUCCCUUGGCAACAGAUUGUAGGGACUUGAAAGCAGUGAGAAACACUGCUACCAUGUUACAGUCACAUGCUCAGAAUAGUACAGACAUGUCAUAAGAAGUAAGUCUUAAAACAGAUGAAACUAAAAGAAAACUUGAAUGAGUUGUGAUGUAACAAAGGAUAGCUACGUAGUAAUGAACAUGCCAGGACACUAAUAGGAGUAAUCAGUGUAUUUUUGUAGCAUUUCCAGUAAUGCUGACUGUCCUGGGAUAUUACAGAGAUUAACUUUCCUGUAAGUAAAGGAAAUGCACAUGAAAAAUUCAAGAAAAAACUUUUAAUUGUAGGAAUGGUCCAGCACUAGA